This 72-nucleotide transfer RNA is filed under the name Camelus ferus (Wild Bactrian camel). It matches the Rfam family "tRNA". Rfam says of the family: Transfer RNA (tRNA) molecules are approximately 80 nucleotides in length. Their secondary structure includes four short double-helical elements and three loops (D, anti-codon, and T loops). The record is from Rfam by way of RNAcentral. Lineage: Eukaryota; Metazoa; Chordata; Mammalia; Artiodactyla; Camelidae.
GAGGGUAUAGCUCAGUGGUAGAGUGUGUGCUUAGCAUGCACAAGGUCCUGGGUUCAAUCCCCAAUAUCGCCA